ACGUAGGGUCCGAGCGUUGUCCGGAAUUACUGGGCGUAAAGAGCUCGUAGGUGGUUUGUCGCGUUGUUCGUGAAAACUCACAACUCAAUUGUGGGCGUGCGGGCGAUACGGGCAGACUUGAGUACUGCAGGGGAGACUGGGAUUCCUGGUGUAGCGGUGGAAUGCGCAGAUAUCAGGAGGAACACCGGUGGCGAAGGCGGGUCUCUGGGCCGAUACUGACGCUGAGGAGCGAAAGCGUGGGGAGCGAACAGGA
Molecule: ribosomal RNA, 253 nt
Filed under: uncultured prokaryote
Description: partial 16S ribosomal RNA
Rfam family: Bacterial small subunit ribosomal RNA
Source: RNAcentral